AUUGAACGCUGGCGGCAGGCCUAACACAUGCAAGUCGAGCGGAUGAAGGGAGCUUGCUCCUGGAUUCAGCGGCGGACGGGUGAGUAAUGCCUAGGAAUCUGCCUGGUAGUGGGGGAUAACGUCCGGAAACGGGCGCUAAUACCGCAUACGUCCUGAGGGAGAAAGUGGGGGGUCUUCGGACCUCACGCUAUCAGAUGAGCCUAGGUCGGAUUAGCUAGUUGGUGGGGUAAAGGCCUACCAAGGCGACGAUCCGUAACUGGUCUGAGAGGAUGAUCAGUCACACUGGAACUGAGACACGGUCCAGACUCCUACGGGAGGCAGCAGUGGGGAAUAUUGGACAAUGGGCGAAAGCCUGUUCCAGCCAUGCCGCGUGUGUGAAGAAGGUCUUCGGAUUGUAAAGCACUUUAAGUUGGGAGGAAGGGCAGUAAGUUAAUACCUUGCUGUUUUGACGUUACCAACAGAAUAAGCACCGGCUAACUUCGUG
Molecule: ribosomal RNA, 484 nt
Filed under: uncultured bacterium
Lineage: Bacteria
Description: partial 16S ribosomal RNA
Rfam family: Bacterial small subunit ribosomal RNA
Source: RNAcentral